Molecule: long non-coding RNA, 930 nt
Organism: Gallus gallus (chicken)
Lineage: Eukaryota; Metazoa; Chordata; Aves; Galliformes; Phasianidae
Source: Ensembl
CCUACUGCCAUACCACCAACAUCUGCCUCUGACGUCAUGGGCCAACACCAUAAAAACACGGGCAUUAUUUUGGAGAAGCCCUUGUAGGUUUGUGGUCCAAAUUUCAUUAUAGGUCCCUACAAUUCCACUGACUGCAGAGUUCUUCAGAUCUUCAAUCACAUCCCAAAACUUAUGGCUUAUUUUCAAGAACGUUACUUUUCCCCAAAGAACUCUAAUUGGAGUGCGGAAAUUACACCAGGCAAAUUAUUUCCCAGCAAGAGUUUGGUGACCUGAGGGGUUCUUUUUAUUGCAGCCAAAGGGGUAGGUUGCACCUGCAACUACUGGUGUGAUGAAGAAUUUGAUUUACAGCUGGACCAAGAUGUCCUAUGGGAUGCAUGAUGGAGGAUGCUGAUGCUGCUGAGAUCCCUCAGUGUUGAUCUGGGUCAACAUCUGAGUCCAACCCCACAUGACCUGUUUUCAUCUCAUCUCUGUGGGAUUACAUGUGAUCAUUGAGACAAAUCCAAGAGAGACCCAGCUUCCCCUGGAAGAGACGAUGGAAGUUCAGUCAGACCCCCGGUUGCUGUUGCUGGGAUACGGUCAGCAGGAAAACGCAGUAAAAGGAGAGGCUGGGUCUGAAGACUGGAGGACUAUCAAACGUGUGCAGAAAUGACCCUUGUCUUGUGCCUGGAUGUUCAGCCAGUGAGGACCUGAGCAAGAAGGGACAGUACUUGCAUAAAAAAUAUUACUUUGUUUUGGCAUUCAGCUUUAUCUGAACUAACAGUAGAUGAACGUAACCACUGCCCAGUCCCAGCUGUGUCAUUGGUCUUUUGGUGAUGGCAGUCAGCUGCCUCCCUCUACACCAGCAGAAGAGGAUUACACUUGGAGCUCUGUGACUCGUUCUUCCUUGCUUCUAAAUUUCCUCCAUGGAAAAUGAAAGUAAUGGAAAUAAAA